UACGUAGGGUGCAAGCGUUGUCCGGAAUUAUUGGGCGUAAAGAGCUCGUAGGCGGUCUGUCGCGUCUGCUGUGAAAACUCGGGGCUUAACCCCGGGCCUGCAGUGGGUACGGGCAGACUAGAGUGCGGUAGGGGAGACUGGAAUUCCUGGUGUAGCGGUGAAAUGCGCAGAUAUCAGGAGGAACACCGGUGGCGAAGGCGGUUCUCUGGGCUGACACUGACGCUCAUGCACGAAAGCGUGGGGAGCAAACAGG
RNAcentral lists this ribosomal RNA (253 nucleotides) under uncultured bacterium. Its description in RNAcentral is "partial 16S ribosomal RNA". It matches the Rfam family "Bacterial small subunit ribosomal RNA", at positions 524 to 776 of the family's 1533-position model. The record is from RNAcentral.